RNAcentral lists this ribosomal RNA (1324 nucleotides) under uncultured fungus. RNAcentral's name for it is "eukaryotic LSU rRNA". The stretch from base 658 to 1324 matches the Rfam family "Eukaryotic large subunit ribosomal RNA", at positions 1 to 649 of the family's 3401-position model. The record is from RNAcentral. Lineage: Eukaryota; Fungi.
AGUCGUAACAAGGUUUCCGUAGGUGAACCUGCGGAAGGAUCAUUAUUGAAUACGAUUGGUACUGAUGCUGGCCCUUCACUGGGCAUGUGCUCGUCCAUCUAUUUAUCUUCUCUUGUGCACAUCUUGUAGUCUUGGAUGAACCCUUGCGCAUUCGUGCGGUCUGGGAGUUGCGAAUUAAACCUUGCUUCUCCUGCUUGUCCAAGGCUAUGUUUUCAUAUACACCAUAAAGUUACAGAAUGUCAAUUAACGACUUGUGCUUGUCACGGUCAUUAAACCUAUACAACUUUCAGCAACGGAUCUCUUGGCUCUCCUAUCGAUGAAGAACGCAGCGAAAUGCGAUAAGUAAUGUGAAUUGCAGAAUUCAGUGAAUCAUCGAAUCUUUGAACGCACCUUGCGCCCUUUGGUAUUCCGAAGGGCAUGCCUGUUUGAGUGUCAUUAAAUUAUCAACCUUGCUCGCUUUUACCGGCUUGAGUUAGGCUUGGAUGUGAGGGUCUUUGCUGGCUUCCUUCAGUGGAUGGUCUGNUCCCUUUAAAUGCAUUAGUGGGAUCUCUUGUGGACCGUCACUUGGUGUGAUAAUUAUCUAUGCCAUCUUGACUUUGAAGCAAACUAAUGGGAACCUGCUCAUAACCGUCCUUUCGAGGACAACUCUUGACAUUUNGACCUCAAAUCAGGUAGGACUACCCGCUGAACUUAAGCAUAUCAAUAAGNGGNGGAAAAGAAACUNNCAAGGAUUCCCCUAGUAACUGCGAGUGAAGCGGGAAAAGCUCAAAUUUAAANUCUGGCGGUCCCUGUGNCCGUCCGAGUUGUAAUUUAGAGAAGUGUUAUCCGUGCUGGACCGUGUACAAGUCUCCUGGAAUGGAGCGUCAUAGAGGGUGAGAAUCCCGUCUUUGACACGGACUGCCAGUGCAUUGUGAUGCGCUCUCAAAGAGUCGAGUUGUUUGGGAAUGCAGCUCAAAAUGGGUGGUAAAUUCCAUCUAAAGCUAAAUAUUGAGGAGAGACCGAUAGCGAACAAGUACCGUGAGGGAAAGAUGAAAAGAACUUUGGAAAGAGAGUUAAACAGUACGUGAAAUUGCUGAAAGGGAAACGCUUGAAGUCAGUCGCGCUGUUCAGGACCCAGCCUUGCUUUGCUUGGUGUACUUCCUGUUCGGUGGGUCAGCAUCAAUUUUGGUCGGUGGAUAAAGGCUUAGAGAAUGUGGCAUCUUCGGGUGUGUUAUAGCUCUGGGUCGCAUACAUCGGCUGGGAUUGAGGAACUCAGCACGCCGCAAGGCCGGGGACUUGUCCCACGUACGUGCUUAGGAUGCUGGCAUAAUGGCUUUAAUCGACC